UAGGGAAUCUUCCGCAAUGGGCGAAAGCCUGCCGGAGCAACGCCGCGAGAGUGAUGAAGGUCUUCGGAUCGUAAAACUCUGUUACUAGGGAAGAACAAAUGCGUAAGUAACUAUGCACGUCUUGACGGUACCUAAUCAGAAAGCCACGGCUAACUACGUGCCAGCAGCCGCGGUAAUACGUAGGUGGCAAGCGUUAUCCGGAAUUAUUGGGCGUAAAGCGCGCGUAGGCGGUUUUUUAAGUCUGAUGUGAAAGCCCACGGCUCAACCGUGGAGGGUCAUUGGAAACUGGAAAACUUGAGUGCAGAAGAGGAAAGUGGGAUGCCAUGUGUAGCGGUGAAGUGCGAAGAGAUAUGGAGGAACACCAGUGGCGAAGGCGACUUUCUGGUCUGUAACUGACGCUGAUGUGCGAAAGCGUGGGGAUCAAACAGG
RNAcentral lists this ribosomal RNA (429 nucleotides) under Actinomycetes bacterium. Its description in RNAcentral is "Actinobacteria bacterium partial 16S ribosomal RNA". It matches the Rfam family "Bacterial small subunit ribosomal RNA", at positions 355 to 776 of the family's 1533-position model. The record is from RNAcentral. Lineage: Bacteria; Bacillati; Actinomycetota; Actinomycetes.